AUGAGACCACUGGGUCGUCUACUGUGCCUGGUCACAGCUCCCCAAUGUGUCCUGUCCCAGGUGCAGCUACAGGAGUCAGGACCUAUCCUGCUGAAGCCUUCGGAGACCUGUCCCUCACCUGUACAGUCUCUGGUUACUCCAUUACCAGUGGUAACUGUGUCUGGAGCUGGAUCUGCCAGCCUCCUGGGAAGAGCCUGGAGUGGAUUGGGUACAUAACUUUUGGUGGAAGUACUAACUACAGCUCAUCCCUCAAGAGCCGCAUCUCCAUUACCAGAGACACGUCCAAGAACCAGUUCUCCCUGCAGCUCAGCUCUGUGACCACAGAGGACACAGCUGUGUAUUACUGUGCAAGAAGCACAGUGAGGGGACCUCAGUGUGAGCACAGACACAAACCUCCCUGCAAGUACACUCAGGGUCAGCAUGGGGCGCUCAGCUCACGGCCAGCACAGCUUCAGUCCCAAUGUUAG
This is a non-coding RNA of Castor canadensis (American beaver), 467 nucleotides long. The record is from RefSeq and is a predicted model, not a curated record. Lineage: Eukaryota; Metazoa; Chordata; Mammalia; Rodentia; Castoridae.